GACGAACGCUGGCGGCGCGCUUAAUACAUGCAAGUCGAACGAGAAUCAUUGGUGCUUGCACUGAUGAGGAAAGUGGCGAACGGGUGAGUAACACAUGAGAAACCUGCCCCAAAGACCGGGAUAAGCUCUGGAAACGGAGUCUAAUACCGGAUACCUUCUUUUUAUCACAUGUUAAAAAAGAAGAAAUGCUCCGGCGCUUUGGGAUGGUCUCGUGGUCUAUCAGCUUGUUGGUGAGGUAAAAGCUCACCAAGGCAUCGACGGAUAGCUGGUCUGAGAGGAUGUCCAGCCACAUUGGAACUGAGAUACGGUCCAAACUCCUACGGGAGGCAGCAGUAGGGAAUCUGCACAAUGAGGAACCUUGAUGCAGCGACGCCGCGUGC
This 380-nucleotide ribosomal RNA is filed under the name uncultured bacterium. RNAcentral describes it as "bacterial SSU rRNA". It matches the Rfam family "Bacterial small subunit ribosomal RNA", at positions 28 to 404 of the family's 1533-position model. The record is from RNAcentral.